UUCUUUUGGCUGAGAAAAUUUCAUGGA
Molecule: non-coding RNA, 27 nt
Filed under: Cricetulus griseus (Chinese hamster)
Lineage: Eukaryota; Metazoa; Chordata; Mammalia; Rodentia; Cricetidae
Source: RNAcentral